AACGAACGCUGGCGGCGUGUUUAAGACAUGCAAGUCGUACGGAUCAGAACUGUAGCACUACUGUUUUGGUUAGUGGCGCACGGGUGAGUAACACGUGAAUGACAUGCCCUGCAGUGGAGAAUAGCCCAGGGAAACUUGGAUUAAUACCCCAUGGUAUCGCGAGAGUAAAGGUGGCCGCAAGGCUGUCGCUGCAGGAUUGGUUCGCGUCCUAUCAGCUAGUUGGUGAGGUAACGGAUCACCAAGGCGACGACGGGUACCUGGUCUGAGAGGACGAUCAGGCACACUGGAACUGAGACACGGGCCAGACACCUACGGGUGGCAGCAGUCGAGAAUAAUUCACAAUGGGGGCAACCCUGAGGGUGCAACGCCGCGUGGAGGAUGAAGGUCUUCGGAUUGUAAACUCCUGUCAUCUGGGAGUAAGACCUGACGGUGAAAAGCCGGCAGGGUUGAUAGUACCAGAAGAGGAAGGGACGGCUAUCUGCGUGCCAGCCGCCGCCGUAA
RNAcentral lists this ribosomal RNA (501 nucleotides) under uncultured bacterium. Its description in RNAcentral is "partial 16S ribosomal RNA". It matches the Rfam family "Bacterial small subunit ribosomal RNA", at positions 29 to 523 of the family's 1533-position model. The record is from RNAcentral.